GGUUAAGUGACUAAGCGUACACGGUGGAUGCCUAGGCAGUCAGAGGCGAUGAAGGGCGUGCUAAUCUGCGAAAAGCGUCGGUAAGGUGAUAUGAACCGUUAUAACCGGCGAUACCCGAAUGGGGAAACCCAGUGUGUUUCGACACACUAUCAUGUCAUGAAUACAUAGUGGCAUGAGGCGAACCGGGGGAACUGAAACAUCUAAGUACCCCGAGGAAAAGA
RNAcentral lists this ribosomal RNA (221 nucleotides) under Enterobacter hormaechei. Its description in RNAcentral is "partial 23S ribosomal RNA". It matches the Rfam family "Bacterial large subunit ribosomal RNA", at positions 1 to 222 of the family's 2925-position model. The record is from RNAcentral. Lineage: Bacteria; Pseudomonadati; Pseudomonadota; Gammaproteobacteria; Enterobacterales; Enterobacteriaceae. RNAcentral also lists the same sequence under 13 other names.